CGUGUAGGCGGCUUGAUAAGUCAGAUGUGAAAGCCCUGGGCUCAACCCGGGAAGUGCAUUUGAAACUGUCAUGCUUGAGUAAGGGAGAGGGAAGUGGAAUUCCUGGUGUAGAGGUGAAAUUCGUAGAUAUCAGGGGGAACACCGGUGGCGAAGGCGACUUCCUGGCCCUAUACUGACGCUGAGACGCGAGAGCGUGGGGAGCAAACAGGAUUAGAUACCCUGGUAGUCCACGCCGUAAACGAUGUUCACUAGGUGUUGGAGGUAUUGACCCCUUCAGUGCCGGAGCUAACGCAUUAAGUGAACCGCCUGGGGAGUACGGUCGCAAGACUAAA
This 332-nucleotide ribosomal RNA is filed under the name uncultured bacterium. RNAcentral describes it as "bacterial SSU rRNA". It matches the Rfam family "Bacterial small subunit ribosomal RNA", at positions 568 to 898 of the family's 1533-position model. The record is from RNAcentral.